GACGAACGCUGGCGGCGUGCUUAACACAUGCAAGUCGAACGGAAAGGCCCUGCUUUUGUGGGGUGCUCGAGUGGCGAACGGGUGAGUAACACGUGAGUAACCUGCCCUUGACUUUGGGAUAACUUCAGGAAACUGGGGCUAAUACCGGAUAGGAGCUCCUGCUGCAUGGUGGGGGUUGGAAAUUUUCGGCGGUUGGGGAUGGACUCGCGGCUUAUCAGCUUGUUGGUGGGGUAGUGGCUUACCAAGGCUUUGACGGGUAGCCGGCCUGAGAGGGUGACCGGCCACAUUGGGACGGAGAUACGGCCCAGACUCCUACGGGAGGCAGCAGUGGGGAAUAUUGCACAAUGGGCGGAAGCCUGAUGCAGCAACGCCGCGUGCGGGAGGACGGCCUUCGGGUGGUAAACCGCUUUCGCCUGUGACGAAGCGUGAGUGACGGUAAUGGGGAAAGAAGCACCGGCUAACUACGU
Molecule: ribosomal RNA, 467 nt
Filed under: uncultured bacterium
Lineage: Bacteria
Description: partial 16S ribosomal RNA
Rfam family: Bacterial small subunit ribosomal RNA
Source: RNAcentral